Molecule: ribosomal RNA, 234 nt
Filed under: uncultured bacterium
Lineage: Bacteria
Description: partial 16S ribosomal RNA
Rfam family: Bacterial small subunit ribosomal RNA
Source: RNAcentral
CCGGGUGAGUAACACGUAUCCAACCUGCCGUCUACUCUUGGACAGCCUUCUGAAAGGAAAGAAUUAAAACAAGAUGGCAUCAUGAGUCCGCAUGUUCACAUGAUUAAAGGUGUUCCGGUAGACGAUGGGGAUGCGUUCCAUUAGAUAGUAGGCGGGGUAACGGCCCACCUAGUCUUCGAUGGAUAGGGGUUCUGAGAGGAAGGUCCCCCACAUUGGAACUGAGACACGGUCCAA